GACGAACGCUGGCGGCGUGCUUAACACAUGCAAGUCGAACGGUAAGGCCCUUCGGGGUACACGAGUGGCGAACGGGUGAGUAACACAUGGGUGAUCUGCCCUGCACUUCGGGAUAAGCCUGGGAAACUGGGUCUAAUACCGGAUAGGACCACUGCCUGCAUGGGUGGUGGUGGAAAGCUUUUGCGGUGUGGGAUGGGCCCGCGGCCUAUCAGCUUGUUGGUGGGGUGAUGGCCUACCAAGGCGACGACGGGUAGCCGGCCUGAGAGGGUGACCGGCCACACUGGGACUGAGAUACGGCCCAGACUCCUACGGGAGGCAGCAGUGGGGAAUAUUGCACAAUGGGCGCAAGCCUGAUGCAGCGACGCUGCGUGAGGGAUGACGGCCUUCGGGUUGUAAACCUCUUUCAGCACCGACGAAGCGCAAGUGACGGUAGGUGCAGAAGAAGGACCGGCCAACUACGUGCCAGCCGCCGCAGUAA
RNAcentral lists this ribosomal RNA (478 nucleotides) under uncultured bacterium. Its description in RNAcentral is "partial 16S ribosomal RNA". It matches the Rfam family "Bacterial small subunit ribosomal RNA", at positions 28 to 523 of the family's 1533-position model. The record is from RNAcentral.